GAGAGUCGCACAAGUAGUAUAACUCGGAAGUCCGAGGUCGAAUCCUCAGGGAACGGUGUAAGUAUUAUUAGCGUAAUUUCAGAUGUAAUUUUUAGUUGAUUUUCAGAAAUCAAAAGCAGAGAAUAAUAGGUAAUUAAACAAAGUUCAAGAAUAUCGAAAUGGCUAGGGAUCCGGAAUCCUCCUUGACAAUAUUACUUUCAACAAAUAAACUCAACGAUUCUCGAUUAAGGAUUAAUUAGAUAGAAUAGUUUUAAUCAUGGAGUAUACAAUCUGAAAACAUGAAUUCAACAUCUAAGUAUUUAUCGUGCCGGUUACGUCUACGACAAAUCAAACAUCGAAACAAUCCAUGCAUCAAUAUAUAUAUAAACCAUAAAAGAUCUAUUUAAUAAAUAAAUAUUCAAGAAUUUAAAACAUACCAAUGGAUAUAAAACAAUUAGAAUAAAAGUUUAGAGUAUACUUGAUGAAAGCAACAUGACAAGGAUUCAUCCAUCACCCUUUGCCAAAGGAUUAGCAAACCAUUACAAACAUCAACAUCUCUCCCUUUCUCACUCUUUUUUUUUUUAAAUAACAGAAACAGGGCAUCCCCUGUUUCUCUCUUCUUCCUUUUUUUAUUCCAAUCGCAGAGGCCUCCACUGUUCUUCCCCCCGACUCCUUUCUUCUUCCUCCCCUGUUUGUGUGUGGGAAUGAAGCACCCCCUCCCAGCCGACCCCUCCCCU
Molecule: long non-coding RNA, 716 nt
Filed under: Phoenix dactylifera (date palm)
Lineage: Eukaryota; Viridiplantae; Streptophyta; Magnoliopsida; Arecales; Arecaceae
Description: long non-coding RNA (PDAC_LNC015118)
Source: RNAcentral